AUUGAACGCUGGCGGCAUGCUUUACACAUGCAAGUCGAACGGCAGCGCGGGCUUCGGCCUGGCGGCGAGUGGCGAACGGGUGAGUAAUGCAUCGGAACGUGCCCAGUAGUGGGGGAUAGCCCGGCGAAAGCCGGAUUAAUACCGCAUACGACCUGAGGGUGAAAGCGGGGGACCGAAAGGCCUCGCGCUAUUGGAGCGGCCGAUGUCGGAUUAGCUAGUUGGUGGGGUAAAGGCUUACCAAGGCGACGAUCCGUAGCUGGUCUGAGAGGACGACCAGCCACACUGGGACUGAGACACGGCCCAGACUCCUACGAGAGGCAGCAGUGGGGAAUUUUGGACAAUGGGGGCAACCCUGAUCCAGCCAUGCCGCGUGCGGGAAGAAGGCCUUCGGGUGGUAAACCGCUUUUGUUCGGGAAGAAAUCCUCUGGGCUAAUACCCCGGGGGGAUGACGGUACCGGAAGAAUAAGCACCGGCUAACUACGU
This 483-nucleotide ribosomal RNA is filed under the name uncultured bacterium. RNAcentral's name for it is "partial 16S ribosomal RNA". It matches the Rfam family "Bacterial small subunit ribosomal RNA", at positions 29 to 506 of the family's 1533-position model. The record is from RNAcentral.